Molecule: long non-coding RNA, 1827 nt
Filed under: Canis lupus familiaris (dog)
Lineage: Eukaryota; Metazoa; Chordata; Mammalia; Carnivora; Canidae
Description: lncRNA (ENSCAFG00030016851.1)
Source: RNAcentral
AUGGCCCCAACCUUUCAUGCUCUGCUGAAAGUGGAAGCAGCUUGCUGGGAAAUACAGCCCAAAGUCAAGGUGGAGGAGGUGAAGACAAAUGUUGGAAAUGAACAACCAGUAGUUUUCAUGUCCUGCAGAGAAGGUCCCAAGAAUGAAGAAAACAUUAUAGAAACUAAGAACCAAACUUUUCCCUGGAAGAAGUGGAAUUGAAGUGAAACAAUGAGAGAGAUUGAUGUUUGGAAGUAUGUUCAAGGACCUUUUUUAUCCUAAGGAAAAAAGGUGGGUUUUUUUUUUAAGAGUUUAUUUAUUUAUGAGAGACACACACAGAGAGGCAGAUACGUGGGUAGAGGGAGAGGCAGGCUCCCUGUGGGGAGCCCGAUAUGGGACUUGAUCCCACAGCCCCGGGAUCACAACCUGAGCCAAAGGCAGAUACUCAGUCACUGAGCCACUCAGGCAUCCUGGGAAAAAAAAAAAAAAACAACAAAGUUUUAAAGACUGUUUAGUAGACUAAAAACAUCAAUUUACUGGAAAGAGAUAUUCCCUGAAAACCAAAACACGUUUUUUAUGGCAGUCAAGUGUUGAUUAGCAGUAAGAAGUGAUCACCUGAGCUGCCAAUCUGAAUAAGGGUUUUUAAAAUUUAAGUCAAACAGAGACACCUGGGUGACUCAGUCAGUUAAGCAUCUUUUUUUUUUUUUAAUUUUUAUUUAUUUAUGAUAGUCACACAGAGAGAGAGAGAGAGAGAGAGGCAGAGUCACAGGCAGAGGGAGAAGCAGGCUCCAUGCACCAGGAGCCCGACAUGGGAUUCAAUCCCUGGGUCUCCAGGAUUGUGCCCUGGGCCAAAGGCAGGCUCUAAACCACUGCGCCACCCAGGGAUCCCAGCAUCUGACUCUUGAUUAUGGUUCAGGCCAUCAUGAUCUCAGGGUCAUGAGAUUGAACUCACAUCCCAGCUCCCUGCUCAGAGGGGAAUCUGCUUAAGGAUUCUCUCCUGCUGCCCCUCCUCCCACUCACCACUCUCUCUAAAAAUUAAAUCUUUAAAAAAAUUAAGUUAAGCAAAGUUUCAAGAGACAUGAGAGUGAAUGCUAACUUACUUCACACAUUGGACAGUUUAAAAGGAAACACAUUCUGUUUCUCCCCAUGGAGUUAGUCUUGCCCGGGGCUACCCCUAUAUUAGCAGAAUUGGUGCCCAGCCCCAUGAUCUAAUCCAAAGAAUAACCGAAGUCCAUCUGACAAAAUAGCCCUACUGUCUGCCAUCACCUUGUUUUUCCAUUUUCUUUGGCCUACAAUUAUUUCCCUGACAUUCACAGCAUAAAUUCAUUGAUUUUAUGGCUUUUGGGGGACAUGUGAAAUCAUUUUACGUAGGUAACUCCAGCAACAGAAGUAAAUGCAAAAGAUGAAGAAUGUUAACAGUGUGUGGUUGCUCUCAUCAACAGUGCUUAAAUAUUUGAGUAUUUUAUGUCUUUGCACAAGAUACUCUAUCCUUCUCUGUCCUUUCCAUGUUACUAGCCUCUCAUACCCAUCUCUCUUCUCCUAGAUGACUGUGCCACAUUCCGUCCUCUCUCCUCGAAUCCCCAACACAGGACAAGCUUCAGAACAGUUCUAGAGUUUUUAAUUGGCUGUGGUCAGGUUCUAAUGCAAUGAAAAAUAUGAUUCCAGUAAAAUGUAUGGAAGGCAAUUUGACUACCACUAUUAUGUCAUCAGACAACAGCAAUGUUUCACAGUUUCCCUGGAGGAAGGAAAUUUGCAAGAAUUCUAUGACUGUUAUUAAGAAGGCAUAGUCUUCAUGAUGGUUUUUACAAAUGUACCACUUUACUGGGCCUACCUAGAAAUGGUUUGAAG